GACGAACGCUGGCGGCGUGCUUAACACAUGCAAGUCGAACGGAAAGGCCCUGCUUUUGUGGGGUUCUCGAGUGGCGAACGUGUGAGUAACACGUGAGUAACCUGCCCUUGACUUUGGGAUAACUUCAGGAAACUGGGGCUAAUACCGGAUAGGAGCUCCUGCUGCAUGGUGGUGGUUGGAAAGUUUCGGCGUUUGGGGAUGGACUCGCGGCUUAUCAGCUUGUUGGUUGGGUAGUUGCUUACCAAGGCUUUGACGGGUAGCCGGCCUGCGAGGGUGACCGGCAAAAAUGGGACUGAGAUACGGCCCAGAAUCCUACGGGAGGCAGCAGUGGGGAAUAUUGCACAAUGGGCGGAAGCCUGAUGAAGAAACGCAGCGUGCGGGAUGAAGGCCUUCGGGUUGUAAACAGCUUUCGACUGUGACGAAGAGUGAGUGACGGUAAUGGGUAAAGAAGCACCGGCUAACUACGUG
RNAcentral lists this ribosomal RNA (468 nucleotides) under uncultured bacterium. RNAcentral's name for it is "partial 16S ribosomal RNA". It matches the Rfam family "Bacterial small subunit ribosomal RNA", at positions 28 to 507 of the family's 1533-position model. The record is from RNAcentral.